RNAcentral lists this ribosomal RNA (438 nucleotides) under Triticum aestivum (bread wheat). RNAcentral's name for it is "partial small subunit ribosomal RNA". The record is from RNAcentral. Lineage: Eukaryota; Viridiplantae; Streptophyta; Magnoliopsida; Poales; Poaceae.
AUGGAGCGCCUGCUUGGGCUGCUCAAGGUGAAGGUGGUCAGCGGGGUGAGCUUGGCCAUCUGCGACCCCCUCGCCCACAGCAGCGACCCCUACGUCGUCAUCUGCCUCGGACAGCAGAAAGUGAAGUCCGGUAUCAAAUAUAAAUCCACCAACCCGGAAUGGAACGAGGAGCUCACCCUGUCCAUCACAAACUGGACGCUCCCGGUUAAGAUUGAAGUCUUUGACCAUGAUACUUUCACCAAGGAUGACAGCAUGGGUGAUGCAGACUUCAGCAUCCUCGACUUUGUCGAGAUCGCCAAGAAGGACCUCAGCCACGUCCCUCACGACACCGUGAUGAAGACGAGACGAUCCACCCUGACAAGGGCAACUGCUUCUCCACCGAGAGCCACAUCACAUGGAAAGACGGCAAGGUCUCUCAGAACAUUGUCCUCAAGCUAA